UAUAGGUUUGGUCCCAGCCUUCCUGUUAACUUUCAAUAGACUUAUACAUGCAAGCAUCCACGCCCCGGUGAGUAACGCCCUUCGAAUCACACAGGACUAAAAGGAGCAGGUAUCAAGCACACACUCUUGUAGCUCACAACGCCUUGCUUAACCACACCCCCACGGGAGACAGCAGUAACCAAAAUUAAGCCAUAAACGAAAGUUUGACUAAGCCAUAUUGACUAGGGUUGGUAAAUCUCGUGCCAGCCACCGCGGUCAUACGAUUGACCCAAGCUAACAGGAGUACGGCGUAAAGCGUGUUAAAGCAUCAUACUAAAUAGAGUUAAAUUUUAAUUAAACUGUAAAAAGCCAUAAUUAUAACAAAAAUAAAUGACGAAAGUAACCCUACAAUAGCUGAUACACCAUAGCUAAGACCCAAACUGGGAUUAGAUACCCCACUAUGCUUAGCCCUAAACACAAAUAAUUAU
This 467-nucleotide ribosomal RNA is filed under the name Ovis aries (sheep). RNAcentral's name for it is "partial 12S ribosomal RNA". Lineage: Eukaryota; Metazoa; Chordata; Mammalia; Artiodactyla; Bovidae. The record is from RNAcentral.